Molecule: long non-coding RNA, 1842 nt
Organism: Anas platyrhynchos (mallard)
Lineage: Eukaryota; Metazoa; Chordata; Aves; Anseriformes; Anatidae
Source: RefSeq, a predicted model, not a curated record
AGCUUGUGUAGGGCUGUCUCCCACUGGGUUUUCAGCAUCUCCAAGGAUAGAGAUGCCAUAGCCUCUGUGGGCAACUUGUUCCACUGCUUGAUAGCUCUCUUACACGCAGAGCAGACCCCACUGAGAGGAGUCUGGCUCCAUCCUCGGACUGGCAACAGUAGCACAAGGCAGCUGCAUUAAAGGGUGAUAAUGCUCUACGUUUAACUAAAAGAAAAGGGCAGAAAACUGUGAAAUAACAGAUUAAAACAGGAAGACCAGCCUAGAAAGGGCCUCAUGAGACUGUGAGGGCUAAUCCUCGUGACCCCAGCCAUGCACCUUCGCUCACUGCUCUGAUGGCUUUUUCCACUUUCCAGCCUUUGUUGUGUCUGGGCUGGUUUAUGUCGUGGUGCCAGUGCCGUUCUUCAGGUUCAAUGGCAAAGGAAUGUAAAGAGUUUAAAAGAAAUAAGAAGGGUGAUUCAGGAGACACCUCGGGGUCUCAGACUGCUUUUCUCCAGCUAUUAAGACAUGGAAGUUGCUGGGUGUUUGCUCUUGCUGGGCAAAGUUGUUAACCAGGGAAUAGUUAGUGGAAAAGUACUGCUGUAGAGUGAAUCUUCAGUAAAAGGAGAGCUGAAGUUAUGCCCUCAAUGUGAGGGAGCUGAAAUUAUGUCAUCGAUAAAGUAGUAGCAGUUACUGGUCCUGAAAGAACCUUGGUGUCCAUGUGGUCAUCAUGCUACAAAUGGCGCCCGAACAGGGACCUGAAGAACAUCACACCACAAAUGGCGUCUGAACAGGGACCUGAAUAACAGGGACAGGCUAGCAGAACAGGGACCAGGACAGGAGCAGAAACGCUGAUCGCCUCAUGAAGAUAGGUUCAGCCAAACUCAGCAAACUCCUCACAGAAACUCAUACUUCAAGUUGCUGAAGGGAAGUGCACCUGAGCUGGAAGGAAGCUGAAGCUGAGGGAAGCAGACCUGCACACGCAACUGCCCCUCACAGGCUGAAGGAAGUUAAUGGAAGUUAACUGUGUACUUGCUGUUUGUGGCAAAGAGAUGACGGCCUGAUGCUUGAGCAAACAGCCUCUUGAACCAACCCAGGUAUCUAACAAGAAAUUGCAACCACUGAAAUACUGCGGUGUAGGUCCAGACAAGAAAAAACCCUCAUUGGUAUACUCUAACCUUGGCCUGCUAUUACCUGCUAUUAGCAGUAGACCGAGCUGCAGCACAAACCAGAGCUGAUGGCAAGAGUUUGCCAUCAGCCAGCAGACUGCAGGAUGUUACCUCUGUGUGUGGUGGUGGCUCCCAUGCCUGAUUUCACCAGCACUCCCUAUGGGACUGGGAGGGAGCAGGAGAUUUGCCAGAGAAGCCCAUGAGCUAAAUCCUCUGAUCUGCUGCAUAUGCUGCAGUGUGUGCUGUCAUCCCAGGUGCAGUUACUUUGUCUAUAAAAGUGAGGAUAUGGAGCUUUAAAAAAAAAAAAAAAAAAAAAAAGACAGCAAACUUCUAUGAUUUCCUUUGAUUAAUGGGUAGCUGAAGGAAAGUAUUUUGCAGAAAAUUUACAAAUUGAAAAGUGUUUGUUUCUGAAUAUCAGCAAUGUUUCAAGAAUGCAUUACAGCAGCAGUGUUAUAAAUUGAUGCAUUCCAUUGAUCAUCCCCUUCUGGACAGAAAAUGAAAACAAACAAACAAAACCAAGCCAUUUCUUUGAUCACAAAUGGGUAUAAUAAUGAGGUUUCAUUUUCAGAAUGUUUGGUUUCUCAUGUUUGAAAGAUAUUAUAAUGUCACGUACAAAAGUUAGAAAUUGUAGCUGGUGUGAAGUUAUGAUUUUACUGCUGCUGACUCCAAAUGUUAAAUUAAAAGUCAAGGCAGAAAA